RNAcentral lists this ribosomal RNA (543 nucleotides) under uncultured bacterium. Its description in RNAcentral is "bacterial SSU rRNA". It matches the Rfam family "Bacterial small subunit ribosomal RNA", at positions 777 to 1319 of the family's 1533-position model. The record is from RNAcentral.
AAUAGAUACCCUGGUAGUUCACGCCGUAAACGAUGAGUGCUAAGUGUUGGGGGUUUCCGCCCCUCAGUGCUGCAGCUAACGCAUUAAGCACUCCGCCUGGGGAGUACGGUCGCAAGACUGAAACUCAAAGGAAUUGACGGGGGCCCGCACAAGCGGUGGAGCAUGUGGUUUAAUUCGAAGCAACGCGAAGAACCUUACCAGGUCUUGACAUCCCGGUGACCACUAUGGAGACAUAGUUUCCCCUUCGGGGGCAACGGUGACAGGUGGUGCAUGGUUGUCGUCAGCUCGUGUCGUGAGAUGUUGGGUUAAGUCCCGCAACGAGCGCAACCCUUAUUCUUAGUUGCCAUCAUUCAGUUGGGCACUCUAAGGAGACUGCCGGUGAUAAACCGGAGGAAGGUGGGGAUGACGUCAAAUCAUCAUGCCCCUUAUGACCUGGGCUACACACGUGCUACAAUGGACGGUACAAACGGUUGCCAACCCGCGAGGGGGAGCUAAUCCGAUAAAACCGUUCUCAGUUCGGAUUGUAGGCUGCAACUCGCCUAC